Molecule: ribosomal RNA, 120 nt
Filed under: uncultured bacterium
Lineage: Bacteria
Description: partial 16S ribosomal RNA
Rfam family: Bacterial small subunit ribosomal RNA
Source: RNAcentral
AAUACGUUCCCGGGCCUUGUACACACCGCCCGUCAAGUCACGAAAGUUGGUAACACCCGAAGCCGGUGGCCUAACCCCUUGUGGGGGGAGCCGUCGAAGGUGGGACUGGCGAUUGGGACU